GUCUCCUACGGGGGGCAGCAGUGAGGAAUAUUGGUCAAUGGUCGGGAGACUGAACCAGCCAAGCCGCGUGAGGGAGGAAGGUACAGAGUAUCGUAAACCUCUUUUGUCAGGGAACAAAGGCGGGGACGUGUCCCCGGAUGAGUGUACCUGAAGAAAAAGCAUCGGCUAACUCCGUGCCAGCAGCCGCGGUAAUACGGAGGAUGCGAGCGUUAUCCGGAUUUAUUGGGUGUAAAGGGCGUGUAGGCGGGGAUGCAAGUCAGAUGUGAAAACUAUGGGCUCAACCC
Molecule: ribosomal RNA, 284 nt
Filed under: uncultured bacterium
Lineage: Bacteria
Description: partial 16S ribosomal RNA
Rfam family: Bacterial small subunit ribosomal RNA
Source: RNAcentral